GAGGAAAAAUGAUUAAGAACCCCUAAGAAAAUUAAACAACUAGAGAUAGAAAGAAAACAUUACAAGAUGGAAUGAGACGAUAAUUGAGAAGAACGAUAAACAUACUCAUGAUCAAUGAAGAUCAAAUCUGUCAUCAUAUAAGAAAAGUUUACCAUUUGCUCAAUCCUAAGGCCUUCCACAUCAGCAACUCUCUUCUCAAAAUUCCACAUCAUCAUUCUAAAAAUUAACUUCUUCUUCCACUAUAAUUUGACAGUUACAUUCUAUUAUUCUUCAAUUUCCACUAUCCUCGUAACUGUGUUUAAUCCCACCCUCUUCCAAAUUCCAAAACCGUUCAAAAAUUCCACGAUCCAUUUUCCCAAAUUCCUUUUCACUUUUCCUCACAUGAUUGGGAUUCUUCAUUGUUCUGAAGACAAAUACGCAACCUAUCAUGUUCACGGCGGUGUUGCUUCAGGUUUGUCAACGAUGGAUGACUUCGCGUAUGGUGUCUGCGGCUGUGUCAAUCUUGGUCGGAAGGCUGAUGCUGGCGGUGAUUGGUUUCUCUUUCUGACGACCCUUCACAGUGGUCGAGUUUGAUUAAACGGAAGAUGGUGGAGGAGUUGUACAAAUCUCUUGUGGCUUAAUUUAGAUCUCAGAGUUCUCAUGGAUUUUAUUUCUCUAUGUCUGAUGGUGUUUCGUUCUUGAUUGUAUUGGUAGUUAUGUUCAUAUUAUACUAACCCUUUCGUACUCCUCAUCUCACGACCUUCCUAAAGUAUUUUGAUUUAAUUUUUGAUUGAUUUGGUGUUGAUGAUGCUCACGGGUUUGUGCGAAAUGUUGGAACUGGUGAACACCUUCCCUGAAGAGAUGUCUCUGUUGGAAAGCAUGUAAAAUAUAUUCUCAGAAAAGAGUGUAUUUGAUUUUAGAGUUUGCACCUAAAGGUGAACUUUACAAGGAGUUACAUAAAUGCAAAUAUUUUAGUGAAAGACGUGCAGCUACUUAUGUUGUGUCAUUGGCCCUAGCCCUUAUAUAUUGCCAUGGAAACCAUGUAAUUCAUAGGGACAUUAAACCAGAGAACCUUCUUAUCGCUGCUCAGGGCGAAUUGAAGAUUGCGGAUUUCGGCUGGUAGGUACACACAUUCAACGGUAGGAGGACCAUGUGUGGCACCCUGGAUUACCUUCCACCCGAGAUGGUUGAGAGUGUAGAACAUGAUGCAAGUGUUGAUAUAUGGAGCCUCGACGUUCUUUGCUACGAGUUUAUUUACGGAGUCCCGCAUUUUGGGGCCAAAGAACAUUCUGAUACUUAUAGGAAGAACUGGCUUUGAGGAGGACAAGAAUUUCCAUGUUGUUUUAAAUUUUGUAAUAGCUGGCCGCUAUCAUGUCACCGAGUAUUUGGGAUCUGCGGCAUUCACUAAAGCAAUUCAAGCUCAUGACCUGCUCAAAGCCUACUUAUAUGAUUUUCAUAAAUUUAACAGAGAAUCAAGAGGGGAACUUUACUUUACAAUGCCAAGAUUGCAGCCAUGAAGCCGAAUCUAUCAUACAAGAUAAUAUUCCCGAGUUUUGUGCCAGUUUCUUGGCUGCCAGUUGUUGUUGAUGCAUUGUCUGUAUGGUAAGUUAUUAGUCAUGUGUAUUUGAAUGUUUUAGGUUUGAUUUACAUGUUUUAUAUUUAUUAGUGUUUGAGGAAUGUGGUGGAUGUAAUUGAUCUACAACAGUUAUAGUCGUCAGAACCUUCACCUGAGUUGUUUAGCCCUUGGCACUGAAACAAAAUUGGAUCGUAGCAUUGCAAGAUAAGUGAUCCUUACACAUUGCUCCAACAGUAUUGGUGAUGUAUGUAGUGUCUCGAAGAUGUUGCGUAAGCAUGUUGUAUCCUAUAUUUUUUAAUGUAGUGUUGUGUAGAUAUUAGUGUAACAAUGUGUUGUAUGUGACUAUGUUGGCGCGUGAUAAUGAUGAAAAUAUUAAACCAUGUCGUGUGAUAAUGAUGCAGGGCGGAACCGAGUCAUACAACUGUUGUACCGAAUCAUCCCGGGGAUGAACAGAGUCAUACAAAUGUUGUACUGAAUGAUGCAGGGGAAAAACCGAGUCCUACAGCUGAUAUAUCGUACAUUGGACUGGGACUGAACCGAGUCAUGCAGCUGCUGUAUCGAAUGAUGCAGGGGAGAAACAAAGUCGUACACCUAAUAUACUUAAUACUGCAGGUGCUGAAUCAGAUUACAUGUACCCUACCCCGCACAUUUUUUGUGAAGAAGGUUAUGCUUGGUCAAUACACAUAAAUGAUUAGCCUCACAAAGCCAACUUCUGGUGCAGCCUAUGUUCAAGGUCUCGACAUAAGAAAUCAUAUGAAUGGAAUAUAUACUAGCAUGGGAGUAUGUCCACAGCAUGACUUGCUGUGGGAAAGCUUAACAGGUAGAGAGCACCUACUUUUUUAUGGAAGACUUAAAAGUCUUACAGGUUCACUCUUGACUCAUUUAUAUUGUUAUAGGCGGUAGAAGAAUCUUUGAAGAGUUUAAACCUUUACCAUGGAAGAAUUGCUGAUAAACAAGAUGAAAAAUACAGUGGAGGGAUGAAGAGGAGGCUCAGUGUUGCAAUUUCAAGGUUGCUUAUUAAA
Molecule: RNA transcript, 2577 nt
Organism: Vicia villosa (hairy vetch)
Lineage: Eukaryota; Viridiplantae; Streptophyta; Magnoliopsida; Fabales; Fabaceae
Exons: 13
Source: RefSeq, a predicted model, not a curated record